CCUACGGGAGGCAGCAGUGGGGAAUAUUGGGCAAUGGAGGAAACUCUGACCCAGCGACGCCGCGUGCGGGAUGAAGGCCUUCGGGUUGUAAACCGCUUUCAGUAGGGAAGAAGCGAAAGUGACGGUACCUACAGAAGAAGCACCGGCUAACUAUGUGCCAGCAGCCGCGGUAAUACAUAGGGUGCAAGCGUUGUCCGGAAUUAUUGGGCGUAAAGAGCUCGUAGGUGGUUCGUCACGUCGGAUGUGAAAAUCUGGGGCUCAACCCCAGACCUGCAUUCGAUACGGGCGAUCUAGAGUGUGGUAGGGGAGACUGGAAUUCCUGGUGUAGCGGUGGAAUGCGCAGAUAUCAGGAGGAACACCAAUGGCGAAGGCAGGUCUCUGGGCCAUUACUGACACUGAGGAGCGAAAGCGUGGGGAGCGAACAGGAUUAGAUACCCUGGUAGUCCACGCCGUAAACGGUGGGCACUAGUUGUGGGAACCUUCCACGGUUUCUGCGACGCAGCUACGCAUUAAGUAGCCCGCCCGUCGGGAGGUACGAUCGCAAGAAUUAAACUAACAAGGAAAGUAGACGGCGUGAGACGUGCCGAACGGACGACGACGAGGGAGGUAGG
This 611-nucleotide ribosomal RNA is filed under the name uncultured bacterium. RNAcentral's name for it is "bacterial SSU rRNA". The stretch from base 1 to 523 matches the Rfam family "Bacterial small subunit ribosomal RNA", at positions 338 to 873 of the family's 1533-position model. The record is from RNAcentral.